AAACGCUAUACAGCGAACGAGAAGGCGCUAGGAGCAAAGGAAAGUGGUUUUUCUAACAAACUCAUAUAAUCAGUUGCACGACGUACUCCAAUUUGAUUUUUUUCACAUAGUUAGACAUAAUAUAGUACUAUGAAAUGUUUCUGACCCAAAAUAUUACGAAAUAUGAUUGUUUACAUUAAAAUGCAAAAGUUGAUGAAAAAGUAUGAUAAGGUGAAAAAAGUGACAUUUUAUGUCUAGAAAGUCAGUUUUCAUCAAAAGUACCAUAACAAAACUAGUUCGCAUUCAUCCUGUGUCUCUUACACACUUGUGCUCUUUAUCCGCUCAAAACGCUAUAGAGCGAACGAGAAGGCGCUAGGAGCAAAGGAAAGUGGUUUUUCUAACAAACUCAUAUAAUCAGUUGCCCGACCUACUCCAAUUUGAUUUUUUCACAUAGUUAGACAUAGUAUAGUACUAUGAAAUGUUUCUGACCCAAAAUAUUACGAAAUAUGAUUGUUUACAUUAAAA
This is a long non-coding RNA of Ictalurus punctatus (channel catfish), 504 nucleotides long. The record is from Ensembl. Lineage: Eukaryota; Metazoa; Chordata; Actinopteri; Siluriformes; Ictaluridae.